Molecule: long non-coding RNA, 501 nt
Filed under: Microcebus murinus (gray mouse lemur)
Lineage: Eukaryota; Metazoa; Chordata; Mammalia; Primates; Cheirogaleidae
Description: lncRNA (ENSMICG00000048187.1)
Source: RNAcentral
GCACGGCCGGCCGCCGGCAGCAGGGCCGGGCCUCGCCCUGCCUGCAGUGCCGGCACGACCCCUACCGCCUUCUCCGCUACGACCUGCACGGGCCCUUCCAGAAGGUUCCGGCGCUGAUGGUGAAGAAGUUCUCGGUGGUGCAGGGCAUGGUCCUGAUGUUCGCGGGGGGCAGGCUGCUGUUCGGGGGCUGCGUCCUCAACGGCUACGGCUUCAGCAAGCAGAACCUGCUGAAACAGAUCUCCCGGGCCCGGCAGGACUGCGAGAAUGGCUACUUCCUGCCCGAGGACUACAAGUUCAACGCGCCCAGCCCGGUCUCCAUGGUGGAGGACGGCGUGGGCCCCACCGGCUCCGAGGACACCCAGGCCAGCUACUCGUCCUUGGCGCUGGGGGACAAGGCCGAGAGGGAGGCCGCCGUUGAGGCCGCGGCCUCCAUGGAGAAAAAGUAGGUGGCCCCUCCCCCGGGGGGUCGGGGGUGACAACCCGCAAAGGGAGGUGGGGGGC